Molecule: ribosomal RNA, 357 nt
Filed under: uncultured Gammaproteobacteria bacterium
Lineage: Bacteria; Pseudomonadati; Pseudomonadota; Gammaproteobacteria
Description: bacterial SSU rRNA
Rfam family: Bacterial small subunit ribosomal RNA
Source: RNAcentral
UUGAUGUGGGAUAACAUGAACGAUGGCUAAUACCGCAUAAUGCUACGGGCCAAAGAGGGGACCUUCGGGCCUCUCGCGUCAAGAUAUGCCUAGGUGGGAUUAGCUAGUUGGUGAGGUAAUGGCUCACCAAGGCGACGAUCCCUAGCUGGUCUGAGAGGAUGAUCAGCCACACUGGAACUGAGACACGGUCCAGACUCCUACGGGAGGCAGCAGUGGGGAAUAUUGCACAAUGGGCGAAAGCCUGAUGCAGCCAUGCCGCGUGUAUGAAGAAGGCCUUCGGGUUGUAAAGUACUUUCAGUUGUGAGGAAGGGGGUAACGUUAAUAGCGUUAUCUCUUGACGUUAGCAACAGAAGAAGC